GAUGAAGAACGUAGCAAAAUGCGAUACUUGGUGUGAAUUGCAGAAUCCCGUGAACCAUCGAGUUUUUGAACGCAAGUUGCGCCCGAAGCCUUUUGGCCGAGGGCACGUCUGCCUGGGCGUCACGCAUCGCGUCGCCCCCCACAAUUCUCCGUAAAGGGAACAUGUGUUUUGGGGGCGGAUAUUGGUCUCCCGUGCUCAUGGCGUGGUUGGCCGAAAUAGGAGUCCUUUCGAUGAACGCACGAACUAGUGGUGGUCGUAAAAACCCUCGUCUUUUGUUUCGUGCUGUUGCUCGCAAGGUAAACUCUUUAAAAACCCCAAUGUGUCGUCUCUUGACGACGCUUCGACCGCGACCCCAGGUCAGGCGGGACUACCCGCUGAGUUUAAGCAUAUCCAAUAAGCGGAGGA
Molecule: unclassified non-coding RNA, 405 nt
Filed under: soil metagenome
Description: partial contains 5.8S ribosomal RNA, internal transcribed spacer 2, and large subunit ribosomal RNA
Rfam family: 5.8S ribosomal RNA (bases 1-122)
Source: RNAcentral